GCUGGGUUUAUGUACCAUGUGACCAGAAAUAUGAACACAAACCUUAGUCACAUGAUCAAGACGUAAACAUGAGCUACCUGACGCAGGCCAAAUGCUGCUACAUGAAUUGCGGUGAAGAGAGAAGAUGUUUUUAAUAUAUUACAUGUUGUGGCCCAGGGGCUUCUAGCCCUACUAGGCAGACCAUGAACCUUGGCGAGAGGCGGCCCAACAAGUGGUGGACGGAGACGGACACGUUCGCCAUGCUGACACUGAUCGAGCAGCUGGACCUGGUGCACGAGCUGGACAAGAAGCGCCAGCGCAACGACUCGCACUUCCGCCGGCUGCGCCACAGCCUGGCCAAGCGCCACAUCCACUUCACCGUCAACCAGAUCCGCAACCGCUGGAAGAGCCUCAAGCACAAGUACCGUAAGAUCAAGACGGCCAGCUACCGCAGCCCUGCCGCACGCCUCUCCGCCAUGGAGUCCUUCCGCUACUUCCGGAUGCUGGACCGCAUGCUGGCCCACAGGCCCAAGGCUGACACCCCCGAGGAGGGCUCGACAGGAGGGCAUGACAUGGUGGUGCUCACCCCCUCCGACCUGGAGGACCACACUGACAGUACUGGUGAUGUGACUCCUGCCCCCUGGCAUGACCCCCUAAUCCCAAAACUGGAAAGUGACGAUGAGGUGAAGCCAGACCCGGACGAGACCCCGAGCCUGGACGAACCGGGCUGGGCCGUGAACGGGAUGGACGAGGUGAUGACCCUGGGGCUGUCUGGGGAGUACCUGGGCUCGGUGAAGGCCGAGCCCAUCCCCUCCUCCUCCUUGCAUAAUCUGGAGGGUGCCAGGGAACCAACUAGCUGUAGCUCAGAGGAGUUUCAAGGCACUUGCGAGGACACCAGCAGCCUCAUCCUUCAGCAGCUGACCAUCCUGAACCACCAGCUGAGCGAGCAGCUGGCCGAGCAAAGGGCCUUCCACUGCAGCAUGCUGGGAAUGAUGGACCGGCAGAUCGAGGUGCUGGAGCAGCUGUCCAGCUUCACGCGCAGCCAACAGGAGGCCAAGGCAGCCAACACCACCGUCACCGCCACCGCCACCGUCUCCAACGUGACCGACGACGACUGCCUGAGCCGAAGGGUCCACGAUGUCCUUCUGCGCAUGGAGAAGAGGAACGUGGGGCAGCCCCUGUCCUUGGAGACACCACCGACGCCAUGUUUGUCCAAACCCUCCCCCUCAGCAGAGCCCCCCGCGCCUCCCUCCUGGACCGUGUCACUCCUGGAGUCCUCGACCCGGCAGGAGUCCUCGGGCCUGGCCGACACGGACUCCGAAGCCGGCCCUAAAGAGGAGGCUCUGGUCGCCAGCGCAGAUGUGGACACACCUGGCCUCGCCAAAGACUCCCAGCCAGAGAGGCAGUCCCCCUCCCCUAAGAAAGGUGCUCUGUUUAAUGGCCUUCUGGACAGCUGCCAGGACCAGUGAGAGCUUGCUGCAUCUGUGAUCCAGCAAGUCCUCCUUGUAUGGACUUACAUUGAUUGAUAUUUUUUCCUUUUCUCCAAAGUGGUCUUGUGCUGUUAAGGUACAUUGAUAAAGAAGUAUGUAGACAUAAAGGUGUGAGGCCUCGUAAGUCAUUCGUUUUUUAGAAAACUGUGUUUUUUUUACAUCUUCCAUUACUUUUUAAUAAGUUCUUGCCCUGAUGUUUUAGUCAGUGGUAGUUUACUGUCUUACGGCGCGUGAAGACUUUAUGAGGAUUUUAUUUUGAAGAGGUUUAUUAAUCUACUCCAGCUUUUUAAUGAAAGGGUAACUAGAAAUAGGUGGAUCAAGCUACUCGCAUUUCUUUAAAGUUAGCAAAUAUUUUGCAAAUUUUUAAUCAUUAGUUUACUAAGAAGAAUUUAAACCUCAUCAUGGUCUGUGUUAGAGAUAUCAUAUAGAUCUUCAGGUCACGCUACAAAACUCCUGAAGAACAAAUGUGCAAUAAUUUAUUCAUUCAUCAUCAUGUUGUUAUUAUUAUUAUUAUUAUUAUUAACAUUAUUAUUAUUAUCAGAAAGUCUGUCAUGAAUACAAUAUUAGUUAACUGGGAUUGAUAGAAAAAGUAGGCCUGAGAAAAGAAAUCUGACUGUAUUUUCUUAUAGAGCAGAAAACAGUAUUAACACUAAUGUUGUUUUGGUUCAGACCAUAUGAUUCUCUUAUUUUUCUGCCUUUGGUUUCAAUAAGAGGGGGAAUAGCUUUAUGAAGGUUUUGUUAUUUUAAAAGCUGUAUGUACUUUCCCCCAGUCAAACGGAUUCAGUAUUUUAAUGAUUUAAUGACGUUGUGUUUGAGACUAGUGUCUGUUUGUUACGGUAUCCUUCCUAAUGGUUGGAGAUAACUGGUUGCAGUGUGCUAACAGAUAUUUACUUUUCUUGCUUUCAUAUUUGCCAUGGUAAUUUAUCUAAGCUAUUAGCCUGAAGCAAUACAAAUGUAAUAUUACUCUCUGAACUAUGUGUGAAAGGUGCUAAAUUAUUUUCAAUCGAUGAAUUGUUGGUUAGAUGCUGCAGUUGAACCCUCUGGUGUAUUUUGUCGGUUUGAAAAUAUUGAAAGCUUUUUUUCUCUAUUGGUGAAUUGAAUUUAACAUCCUGUAUGUAGAUGAGGGAAAUGUGGGGACUGUAAAUCUCAUACAUGAAAAAGAGUGAAGUGCAUGUGGAACAUCAGAUGAUGAGGAUAGUCUGCAGUUAAGCAAACAACCUUAGUGCAAAAAAAAGAUGCUAGUAUUUGAUGGAAGAGGCAUGUGCUUGAUGUAAAUAUGCAGAUGAGUUUCAUCUAUACUUCCUAAAAGGUCAUUGGAUGACUCCUAUUUAUCCAAUAAUUCUUUAACAGAUUGUGUUUUGCAGGUUGUUUCUCAUAAAAGGUAA
Molecule: long non-coding RNA, 2854 nt
Organism: Clupea harengus (Atlantic herring)
Lineage: Eukaryota; Metazoa; Chordata; Actinopteri; Clupeiformes; Clupeidae
Source: Ensembl